CCCCUUGGCUCUCUAACUUUAAUUUUCAUUUUGUAUUUAUUUUUAUUGUAGUUUUCAAUUUAAAUUUUCAUUAGAUUUAAAACAACUAAAACACAAUUAAAUAUUAAAAUUAACCCUACAUUGAUUGAAAAUUAAAAUUGCGAUACAUUUAAAAUAAUUAAAGUCCUAAAUUACUUUUAAAAAAAAACAUAAAAUAAAAUUCUAGAAUCUAUGGGAGAUUGUUGCGUUGUUUGAUUUCUGCCACCUUGGCCAAGUGAAACGUCAACUCAUCGGGAUUCAUUUGAGAGGUGCCCCUACUAAUCACAUACCGAAAUAACUUUAAACUUGCUCUUAGAGCUAUAUAUUGAACUUGCCAUCUCAAGCAUCACACAUGAAUUUUAUUUAAAUAACCUGUGAAUGCAAAGUUGUAAAAUUUUUCUAUAAUCAUCAUAACAUCAUAUACGUGUGCAGACAAUUAACAUGUAUGUACCAUAUCUACACAUUAUAUAACUCUGAGGGUUGAGAAGUAGGCCUCCUUCUCAAACACGACGACAAGCUAAUUCAAAGCUUAACUGUCAACUCUAUGUACACAAAUCCUAACUCACUCAGGACCCGAAUUCGUUGUUCUAUGUAGAUGGUAACAUACAAAUCUCAAAUAUUAGCAAGUCAAUAAUUCGAAAAUAAAUGCAUACACUUAAACUUCAUAUCAAAAUAUGUAUCUUUAUUUCUUGAGUUAGUGAGUCCACCUGAUAUGCUUAAUGAAAUAGAAGUCCUUGCUUGUUCACUCUAUACUGCCACUCGAACCUUCAUUAUAAUGAGGUUCCCAAGGUAAGAUUGGAUAUAUAGACAAGAAAUAACUAGAAAAGAAUUCAUGAUUGAAACUUCUAUCUCUUGAAGCUUUAGGGUUGCAUCCACUAGUUUAAAUAAACUGCUUUUGUGAAUUUAACUAAACUAAAAGCAUAUACUAACAUUCCAUCUCUUGGGACAUCUCAAGUUAAGAAAGCUUAAAAGUAAACUAAUCCAUCCUAUAUAGAUUAGCUUACAAUUAAUAACUAAAACAUCAAUCACUUAGCAUAGUUCUAUUCAUAACUAUCUCAAGUAAGUAAUCUCAAACAUGUAUUCAUAAAUGAAUCUCAAGUUUGAAAAAUCAUAUAAAAUCAAUCUAUUCAAAGAGAAAUACAAGUUUUACCUUUUUAGAAAACCAUUAAAGUCUAUAUUUAUCAGGAAUUUACAAAAACACAAUAUCUCAAGUGUAUAAGAAAUUAUAUCUAGAAAGGCAGAAUCUGCCAUUGAACUACGCUGCUUCACGCAGUACAUUUCAGAAAAUCGUUUGACACAUCUAAGGGUGUUGGAUUUAGCUGAAAUUUUGCAGACACGUACUACUCAUGAUGAAGUUAUUACUGUAAAAAUUUCAAGAGAUUUGAACCCUCAAAAGUACCCCUCAAUACCCUAUCCUGUACAGCCAAGAACUGACAGCAGGGGCAUCUCUUGCUUCAACUCAACAAAAUACAUAUCUUGACUAAUUAAAGAGAUGUAGGGCUCAAAUAUACAUCAUCUUAAUACAUAUUAGCAUGCUUUACCUUAAACUUAAUUCAUGUUCAACACAUCAACAUAUAGUAGCAUGCUUGAUAUCCCCCAAUUACUAUCAUAUAAUCUCAUUUUACAACUCAAAGAGUACAAUUACACAAACAUCAACAUGUAGCUAUCUUAUAUCAAGAAUUCCCAAAUCCAUUGAAACUAAACUAUUAGAAAAUCAUGAUUUCUUGCAAAUAAAAACUCAAAUAAAUCUCAAUGAUUCCCUCACAAACAUAUAAAUAUAUAUACGUUGUCAAUUGAUGGAGAUAAAGAAGAUGAAAUUCUAGGGUUCUUGAGGGGGUCAAAAAUCGAAGCUUUGGGGUAGGGUUUUGAUUUCUUUCAUCAUACUACUUAAUUCUAAAUAAUUACUAACUUGAAACAUGUAGUAAUCAACAUGAUACAAGAGCAAAUCAUUUUUGUAGUAGCCCGCUCUUUUAUUUAUGAUAAAAAACUAGUAAAUGCAAUUUUUAUAAAUGAAUCCAGUUUAUGGUCCUGAUUUUUUUUUUAUCAGAGACGGAGUUAUUAUUUUAGCUUUAUACUUUUAUAACGUAUAAGAAAAACGCGACGAGGAUUAUUGAGCCAUUCAAUAAUUUAUUAUCCAGUUUGAUAACUGACUUAGCAAAGUCAAGUUAUUAAUUUAUAUGCGAUAGAAAUAGUAUUUCUAUUAUUUACUUGAAGUCGUGAUUAAUUUUCGACUUAUAAAACGAAUUAUAAAAUAUGUAAUUCGUAGAGAGUUAUAACGAAGCGUCGUUAUUUAGUAGAACCCAAUAUUAGUUUUACAAAUACUUGUAACUUCAAUACUUUACAAAUCAUUAUUUUUCCACUCCCUAAUGUUUCCUACACUAUAUACGCAUCCACUCCACCAAAUUACAUCAUACCUACCUCCCCACCACUACUUUACUUUUCCCCCACCACAUUAGUGCACCACCAUCUCCACUACCUAUGCUCCCCACCAACUUCAAAAAAACUUCACCCAUUCCUUCCAUUUCGCACCAGCAAUCACAAAGAGAAGGAAGACUUGGCUUAACUAUUUUGCCAAGAUUUCAAGCUGCUCCAGUCCAGUAGUACCCCAACACUCCGGCAGUGUUUUGCAAGGCGAUUUCAGCAAUCCAAACGGUUCCCAAAAAUUCUCAAAUUAAUUGUGUAUCAUCUUUCAUAUGUUUUCUAUACUUUGGUAAAAUUUCAGAAGGUUUGAAGCUCUUAUGAUUUAUUUAUGAAUUUGUAAACAUCACUGCCCAUCUGGAAUACAUUUUUGGUAAACAAUCUUUGGGAGGCCAUAAGUAAAGUUUCAAUCGGUGAAAACCUUUGAAACUUGAAUAUGUCACUCUAGACUCCCGUAUCUUUCUUUUGAAANGGCCGGUCGUGACAAUUUUCUUCUCCAACAGCCUAUUUUUCGAAAUAACAUAAAGAAGACACAUGAGAAUUUCCUUUAAUUCCACUAUCAAUAAGGUUUAAUCCAAGAGCUCUUACCUUAGAUACGUUCUUGAAGCUUGGCUAGAAAAGAGAAAAACACAAAAUGAAGAACAGGGGAAGGGACAGAGGCUUGCAGGGGAAGAAGAAAAUAUUUGGCUUUUCUCAUGAGUCUUGUUUGGCGGCUGCCCUAACAAGAAUUAAAUAUAAUUUGGAACAUAUAAUUCCUUAAAGC
Molecule: long non-coding RNA, 3199 nt
Filed under: Salvia miltiorrhiza (redroot sage)
Lineage: Eukaryota; Viridiplantae; Streptophyta; Magnoliopsida; Lamiales; Lamiaceae
Description: long non-coding RNA (SMIL_LNC005437)
Source: RNAcentral